AAAUUGAAGAGUUUGAUCAUGGCUCAGAUUGAACGCUGGCGGCAGGCCUAACACAUGCAAGUCGAACGGUAACAGAAAUCAGCUUGCUGAUUUGCUGACGAGUGGCGGACGGGUGAGUAAUGUCUGGGAAACUGCCUGAUGGAGGGGGAUAACUACUGGAAACGGUAGCUAAUACCGCAUAACGUCGCAAGACCAAAGAGGGG
RNAcentral lists this ribosomal RNA (203 nucleotides) under Escherichia coli. Its description in RNAcentral is "partial 16S ribosomal RNA". It matches the Rfam family "Bacterial small subunit ribosomal RNA", at positions 1 to 211 of the family's 1533-position model. Lineage: Bacteria; Pseudomonadati; Pseudomonadota; Gammaproteobacteria; Enterobacterales; Enterobacteriaceae. The record is from RNAcentral.